This is an RNA transcript of Odobenus rosmarus divergens (Pacific walrus), 337 nucleotides long. RefSeq lists it as uncharacterized. NCBI's taxonomy places the organism in Eukaryota, Metazoa, Chordata, Mammalia, Carnivora, Odobenidae. The record is from RefSeq and is a predicted model, not a curated record. The transcript is spliced from 2 exons.
CCCAUUGGCAGAAUGUAAACCAGAAGCCAACUGCCACGGGAGUCUGAAUAAUCAAGUUUUCAGACCCUAGACAUGGUUGCUUAAUCUCAGUACCAUUGACAUUUUGGGCCAGGUGGCUGUCCUGUGCUUUGGAGGAUGUUUAGUAACAUACUUGGCCUCUACCCACUUGAUACCAGUAUCUCCCUCCCUCCAACCCAGAUGCUUCCAUACAUUGCCAGAUAUCCCCUGGGGGACAAAAUGGCCCCGAUGAAGAACCACCUCCGAGACCCAGCAUUGCAGAGCUGCAUACAGAAGGAGACUGACACACGUUGAUACAGGGAAGUCUGGUAGUUCAUUG